RNAcentral lists this ribosomal RNA (546 nucleotides) under uncultured fungus. Its description in RNAcentral is "eukaryotic LSU rRNA". The stretch from base 187 to 340 matches the Rfam family "5.8S ribosomal RNA". Lineage: Eukaryota; Fungi. The record is from RNAcentral.
UCGUAACAAGGUUUCCGUAGGUGAACCUGCGGAANGAUCAUUACCUAGAGUUUGUGGACUUCGGUCUGCUACCUCUUACCCAUGUCUUUUGAGUACCUUCGUUUCCUCGGCGGGUCCGCCCGCCGGUUGGACAACAUUCAAACCCUUUGCAGUUGCAAUCAGCGUCUGAAAAAACUUAAUAGUUGCAACUUUCAACAACGGAUCUCUUGGUUCUGGCAUCGAUGAAGAACGCAGCGAAAUGCGAUAAGUAGUGUGAAUUGCAGAAUUCAGUGAAUCAUCGAAUCUUUGAACGCACAUUGCGCCCCUUGGUAUUCCAUGGGGCAUGCCUGUUCGAGCGUCAUUUGUACCUUCAAGCUCUGCUUGGUGUUGGGUGUUUUGUCUCGCCUCCGCGCGCAGACUCGCCUUAAAACAAUUGGCAGCCGGCGUAUUGAUUUCGGAGCGCAGUACAUCUCGCGCUUUGCACUCAUAACGACGACGUCCAAAAGUACAUUUUUACACUCUUGACCUCGGAUCAGGUAGGGAUACCCGCUGAACUUAAGCAUAUCA